GAGAGAUUCAUCGUCAUUCCGCGGCGUACGGGCUGCGCGUUUCGAUGUCGUCGGCCUCGGUCGUCAGGCACGACGCGCGUCCGUCGACGUCCGCGGACGGCGUGCACUUCUCUCUUAGUAAAUACAUCGCGACCCGUUCGAUGUCGGUCUAAGCGCCGUUCGGGAGCCCCAUGGUCCCUUAACGGGGUCUGUGGGACCGCGACGGUGGCCGACCGGCCGUCGGACGGUAGUUCUGACGAAACGCGCACGCGUUUACAACGCGUCCGGCCCGACGCAAGUCAACGUCGUAUCCAACGUACCGCCUCAGUGCGGACGUAGGUGCGGCGCGUCUGCUGUUGCCGCCGUGCAGUCUCGGAC
This 357-nucleotide ribosomal RNA is filed under the name Dysschema panamensis. Its description in RNAcentral is "partial 28S ribosomal RNA". Lineage: Eukaryota; Metazoa; Arthropoda; Insecta; Lepidoptera; Erebidae. The record is from RNAcentral.